RNAcentral lists this ribosomal RNA (771 nucleotides) under uncultured bacterium. RNAcentral's name for it is "bacterial SSU rRNA". It matches the Rfam family "Bacterial small subunit ribosomal RNA", at positions 1 to 822 of the family's 1533-position model. The record is from RNAcentral.
CCCUUAGAGUUUGAUCAUGGCUCAGAACGAACGCUGGCGGCAGGCCUAACACAUGCAAGUUGAGCGCACCUUCGGGUGAGCGGCGGACGGGUUAGUAACGCGUGGGAACAUACCCUUUUCUACGGAAUAGCCUCGGGAAACUGAGAGUAAUACCGUAUAAGCCCUUCGGGGGAAAGAUUUAUCGGGAAAGGAUUGGCCCGCGUUAGAUUAGAUAGUUGGUGGGGUAAUGGCCUACCAAGUCUACGAUCUAUAGCUGGUUUUAGAGGAUGAUCAGCAACACUGGGACUGAGACACGGCCCAGACUCCUACGGGAGGCAGCAGUGGGGAAUCUUAGACAAUGGGCGCAAGCCUGAUCUAGCCAUGCCGCGUGUGUGAUGAAGGUCUUAGGAUCGUAAAGCACUUUCGCCAGGGAUGAUAAUGACAGUACCUGGUAAAGAAGCCCCGGCUAACUCCGUGCCAGCAGCCGCGGUAAUACGGAGGGGGUUAGCGUUGUUCGGAAUUACUGGGCGUAAAGCGUACGUAGGCGGAUUGGAAAGUUGGGGGUGAAAUCCCAGGGCUCAACCCUGGAACUGCCUCCAAAACUAUCAGUCUAGAGUUCGAGAGAGGUGAGUGGAAUUCCAAGUGUAGAGGUGAGAUUCGUAGAUAUUUGGAGGAACACCAGUGGCGAAGGCGGCUCACUGGCUCGAUACUGACGCUGAGGUACGAAAGUGUGGGGAGCAAACAGGAUUAGAUACCCUGGUAGUCCACACCGUAAACGAUGAAUGCCAGUCG